Non-coding RNA from Phrynosoma platyrhinos (Desert horned lizard), 72 nucleotides. NCBI's taxonomy places the organism in Eukaryota, Metazoa, Chordata, Lepidosauria, Squamata, Phrynosomatidae. The record is from the annotation of a GenBank genome assembly.
GCCAGUGUGGUGUAGUGGUUUGAGUGUUGGACUACAGCUCUGGAGACCAGGAUUCAAAACCCUGAUCAGCCA